UCGUAUUUGCUAUAUAGAAACGCCAAUAAAGUACUGUUAUUGAUCUGCAAUAGGAAUCGUUCAUUAAUUACGUCACGCUUAUACAGAGUGGCGAUACUUCUCGAUUGAUUGAUGAACAAUACAUGAAGAAUGGAUAUACCCUUCGCUUAAACUAUUCUUCGUAUUUAGUAGAAAUGUUCGGGCUUCACAUGUUAC
This is a long non-coding RNA of Aedes aegypti (yellow fever mosquito), 195 nucleotides long. RefSeq lists it as uncharacterized. NCBI's taxonomy places the organism in Eukaryota, Metazoa, Arthropoda, Insecta, Diptera, Culicidae. The transcript has 3 exons. The record is from RefSeq and is a predicted model, not a curated record.